RNAcentral lists this ribosomal RNA (510 nucleotides) under uncultured bacterium. RNAcentral describes it as "partial 16S ribosomal RNA". It matches the Rfam family "Bacterial small subunit ribosomal RNA", at positions 28 to 523 of the family's 1533-position model. The record is from RNAcentral.
GACGAACGCUGGCGGCGUGCUUAACACAUGCAAGUGGAGCGACGAACCAGGGCUUGCCCUGGGGCAGAGCCGCGAACGGGUGAGUAACACGUGGGUAGCGUACCCCGAUGACCGGGACAACCCGAGGAAACUCGGGCUAAUACCGGAUGUGUCCGACUUUCACGAGAUCGUCGAGCAAAGGAAGCUUCGGCCUCCGCAUCGGGAGCGGCCCGCGGCCCAUUAGCUUGUUAGUAGGGUAAUGGCCUACCAAGGCUGCGAUGGGUAGCUGGUCUGAGAGGACGAUCAGCCACACUGGGACUGAGACACGGCCCAGACUCCUACGGGAGGCAGCAGUGGGGAAUAUUGCGCAAUGGGCGAAAGCCUGACGCAGCGACGCCUCGUGAGGGAUGAAGGUCUUCGGAUCGUAAACCUCUGUCAAGAGGGAAGAAACCCUUGGAUUCGAACAGGGUCCUUGGCUGACGGUACCUCAAAAGGAAGCACCGGCUAACUCCGUGCCAGCAGCCGCAGUAA